AGCCUGAUGCAGCCAUGCCGCGUGUGUGAAGAAGGCCUUCGGGUUGUAAAGCACUUUCAGUCGUGAGGAAGGUGGUNGNGUUAAUAGCNNUAUNAUUUGACGUUAGCGACAGAAGAAGCACCGGCUAACUCCGUGCCAGCAGCCGCGGUAAUACGGAGGGUGCGAGCGUUAAUCGGAAUUACUGGGCGUAAAGCGCAUGCAGGUGGUUUGUUAAGUCAGAUGUGAAAGCCCGGGGCUCAACCUCGGAAUAGCAUUUGAAACUGGCAGACUAGAGUACUGUAGAGGGGGGUAGAAUUUCAGGUGUAGCGGUGAAAUGCGUAGAGAUCUGAAGGAAUACCGGUGGCGAAGGCGGCCCCCUGGACAGAUACUGACACUCAGAUGCGAAAGCGUGGGGAGCAAACAGGAUUAGAUACCCUGGUAGUCCACGCCGUAAACGAUGUCUACUUGGAGGUUGUGGCCUUGAGCCGUGGCUUUCGGAGCUAACGCGUUAAGUAGACCGCCUGGGGAGUACGGUCGCAAGAUUAAAACUCAAAUGAAUUGACGGGGGCCCGCACAAGCGGUGGAGCAUGUGGUUUAAUUCGAUGCAACGCGAAGAACCUUACCUACUCUUGACAUCCAGAGAACUUUCCAGAGAUGGAUUGGUGCCUUCGGGAACUCUGAGACAGGUGCUGCAUGGCUGUCGUCAGCUCGUGUUGUGAAAUGUUGGGUUAAGUCCCGCAACGAGCGCAACCCUUAUCCUUGUUUGCCAGCACUUCGGGUGGGAACUCCAGGGAGACUGCCGGUGAUAAACCGGAGGAAGGUGGGGACGACGUCAAGUCAUCAUGGCCCUUA
Molecule: ribosomal RNA, 831 nt
Filed under: Vibrio proteolyticus
Lineage: Bacteria; Pseudomonadati; Pseudomonadota; Gammaproteobacteria; Vibrionales; Vibrionaceae
Description: bacterial SSU rRNA
Rfam family: Bacterial small subunit ribosomal RNA
Source: RNAcentral